GGGACCUUCACUGGGAGGGGGGAGGGGCAACAUGGAGACUGUGCAUGAGAUAACCUGAUAUGCGCUGGGGGAUAACAUGGGGGCUAGGGGGAGUUGGCCUCUCCAGUAUAUAAAUUUUUAAACACUUUACUUGCAAACACGAUCAAAUUCAAAGGUAUAUUACGUCACUCUGUUGAACACGAUUUUUCAUAUUUAACUUUAUGACGUCACUCAGUUGAAUAUUAUGUCUAAACCGGAGUGUUAUACUAUAGGAUAAUAUCGUAUGAUUUAUUGAAACAGAGUAAUAACAUUUAUUUUCAUACAGUCAGUACUGUACAGUGCAGUAGUCCAUAGUUAGUACACAACUAUAUCGUGGUACUAUCCGUCUUACUGAAGUAAACUGUGAGCAUUAAAUACAUAAUACAUCAUUCUAUACAUAGCUAAGUAUUCGUUAACACGAUUCAUGUGACGAUGCGUUUUUGAUCCACACAUUCGUUGUCUUCACAAAUCAUUCCUGGACAUGAAGUGUUACAUUCUUGGUCGAAAGUGCAACUUUUCUUGAACGUAUUGGGACACUGUA
This is a non-coding RNA of Paramuricea clavata, 559 nucleotides long. Lineage: Eukaryota; Metazoa; Cnidaria; Anthozoa; Malacalcyonacea; Plexauridae. The record is from the annotation of a GenBank genome assembly.